AGAGUUUGAUCAUGGCUCAGGAUGAACGCUGGCGGCGUGCUUAACACAUGCAAGUCGAACGAAGAUAUUUAGAAUGAGAGCUUCGGCAGGAUUUUUAUCUAUCUUAGUGGCGGACGGGUGAGUAACGUGUGGGCAACCUGCCCUGUACUGGGGAAUAAUCAUUGGAAACGAUGACUGAUACCGCAUGUGGUCCUCGGAAGGCAUCUUUUGAGGAAGAAAGGAUUUAUUCGGUACAGGAUGGGCCCGCAUCUGAUUAGCUAGUUGGUGAGAUAACAGCCCACCAAGGCGACGAUCAGUAGCCGACCUGAGAGGGUGAUCGGCCACAUUGGGACUGAGACACGGCCCAGACUCCUACGGGAGGCAGCAGUGGGGAAUAUUGCACAAUGGGGGAAACCCUGAUGCAGCGAUGCCGCGUGAAGGAGGAAGGUUUUCGGAUUGUAAACUUCUAUCAGCAAGGAAGAAAAUGACGGUACCUGACUAAGAAGCCCCGG
This 491-nucleotide ribosomal RNA is filed under the name uncultured bacterium. Its description in RNAcentral is "bacterial SSU rRNA". It matches the Rfam family "Bacterial small subunit ribosomal RNA", at positions 8 to 496 of the family's 1533-position model. The record is from RNAcentral.